This 328-nucleotide unclassified non-coding RNA is filed under the name soil metagenome. RNAcentral's name for it is "partial contains 5.8S ribosomal RNA, internal transcribed spacer 2, and large subunit ribosomal RNA". The stretch from base 1 to 120 matches the Rfam family "5.8S ribosomal RNA", at positions 35 to 154 of the family's 154-position model. The record is from RNAcentral.
GAUGAAGAACGUAGCGAAAUGCGAUAAGUAAUGUGAAUUGCAGAAUUCAGUGAAUCAUCGAAUCUUUGAACGCACAUUGCGCCCCCUGGCAUUCCGGGGGGCAUGCCUGUCCGAGCGUCAUUACAACCCUCAAGCUCAGCUUGGUGUUGGGCCCCGCCGCCCCGGCGGGCCCUAAAGUCAGUGGCGGUGCCGUCCGGCUCCGAGCGUAGUAAUUCUUCUCGCUCUGGAGGUCCGGUCGCGUGCUCGCCAGCAACCCCCAAUUUUUUUCAGGUUGACCUCGGAUCAGGUAGGGAUACCCGCUGAACUUAAGCAUAUCAAUAAGCGGGGA